CCUACGGGAGGCAGCAGUGGGGAAUAUUGCACAAUGGGGGAAACCCUGAUGCAGCGACGCCGCGUGAGUGAAGAAGUAUUUCGGUACGUAAAGCUCUAUCAGCAGGGAAGAAAAUGACGGUACCUGACUAAGAAGCCCCGGCUAACUACGUGCCAGCAGCCGCGGUAAUACGUAGGGGGCAAGCGUUAUCCGGAUUUACUGGGUGUAAAGGGAGCGUAGACGGCAGCGCAAGUCUGGAGUGAAAUCCCAUGGCUUAACCAUGGAACUGCUUUGGAAACUGUGCAGCUAGAGUGCAGGAGAGGUAAGCGGAAUGCCUAGUGUAGCGGUGAAAUGCGUAGAUAUUAGGAGGAACACCAGUGGCGAAGGCGGCUUACUGGACUGUAACUGACGUUGAGGCUCGAAAGCGUGGGGAGCAAACAAGAUUAGAUACCCGGGUAGUC
Molecule: ribosomal RNA, 440 nt
Filed under: uncultured bacterium
Lineage: Bacteria
Description: partial 16S ribosomal RNA
Rfam family: Bacterial small subunit ribosomal RNA
Source: RNAcentral